RNAcentral lists this ribosomal RNA (447 nucleotides) under uncultured bacterium. RNAcentral describes it as "bacterial SSU rRNA". It matches the Rfam family "Bacterial small subunit ribosomal RNA", at positions 355 to 825 of the family's 1533-position model. The record is from RNAcentral.
UCGGGAAUUUUGGGCAAUGGGCGAAAGCCUGACCCAGCAACGCCGCGUGAAGGAUGAAGUAUUUCGGUAUGUAAACUUCGUAAGAAUAGGAAGAAUAAAUGACGGUACUAUUUGUAAGGUCCGGCUAACUACGUGCCAGCAGCCGCGGUAAUACGUAGGGACCAAGCGUUGUUCGGAUUUACUGGGCGUAAAGGGCGCGUAGGCGGUGUGUCAAGUCAGUUGUGAAAUCUCCGAGCUUAACUCGGAACGGUCAACUGAUACUGUCACACUAGAGUACAGAAGGGGCAAUCGGAAUUCUUGGUGUAGCGGUGAAAUGCGUAGAUAUCAAGAGGAACACCUGAGGCGAAGGCGGGUUGCUGGGCUGAUACUGACGCUGAGGCGCGAAAGCUAGGGUAGCAAACGGGAUUAGAUACCCAAGUAGUCCCUGAGCGGGCUGGCAAGGCGCAU